Molecule: ribosomal RNA, 376 nt
Filed under: uncultured bacterium
Lineage: Bacteria
Description: bacterial SSU rRNA
Rfam family: Bacterial small subunit ribosomal RNA
Source: RNAcentral
UACGUAGGGGGCAAGCGUUGUCCGGAAUCAUUGGGCGUAAAGCGCGUGUAGGCGGCCACGUUAGUCCGUUCUGAAAGCCCGGGGCUCAACCCCGGGAGGCGGAUGGAUACUGCGUGGCUCGAGUCCGGAAGAGGCGAGUGGAAUUCCUGGUGUAGCGGUGAAAUGCGCAGAUAUCAGGAGGAACACCAAUGGCGAAGGCAGCUCGCUGGGACGUGACUGACGCUGAGACGCGAAAGCGUGGGGAGCAAACAGGAUUAGAUACCCUGGUAGUCCACGCCGUAAACGAUGAACACUAGGUGUAGGGGGUGUCGACUCCCCCUGUGCCGAAGCUAACGCAUUAAGUGUUCCGCCUGGGGAGUACGGCCGCAAGGCUAAA